This 751-nucleotide long non-coding RNA is filed under the name Heterocephalus glaber (naked mole-rat). RNAcentral's name for it is "lncRNA (ENSHGLG00100049679.1)". The record is from RNAcentral. Lineage: Eukaryota; Metazoa; Chordata; Mammalia; Rodentia; Bathyergidae.
GGAAAAUAGCUGGAUUGAAUGAAAUUUCUAUUUUUAGUUUUUUGAAGAAUCUCCAUACUUCCAACUGGUAUUUUAAGUAACAAAAAAUAGCAAACCGUUCCAAGCAUUAUGGUUGUUGUGGGGAGUUAAAUAAAACAUCGUCCGAGAAGAAAAUAAAGAUGCGUUUAUAGAGAAAAACUUGGACACUGGUUUCCAUUUAUGGAAACUACAGAGAUUUAAGAGAAAGCUGUACAGGGAAGACCCUUCUCAGAGUGACACAGGUACAAAUGUGUCUUAGAUAGAGGACUCCAACCGUGGCGCAGAGGAUGAAGUGUGAAGAGAGACAAGGUCUGACAGGAGGCACGAGUCACCUCUGCUGCAGAAAGGAUGAAGAGGAGCUGCAUGAAGCAGCUAUGGAAGUAUCGAUGCCCUUCUAAGACACUAAAGAACCACCAUGUGGAUGGGACCUUGUGGAAUUUAGUCUUCCUAUCUACAAAGGUUAGACUUGGCACCGAUGAUAGGAUAAGGCGGCUGGACUUGAGGAGAGGCGGGGGACAGGAUCAUCUUGAUGAUGCUAAUUUGCUGCCUGAGACUCUUCUGUGAGAAAAAUUUUACACCUAAGCUCAGGCUUACUGGAAGGACUGAUUAGUCGCAUCUGCCACGAAGGAGACACAUGUGCUGCUGCAUUUCUGAUUGCCGUUAGCCAGACCAUCAUUAAGAUUCCGCCCAGGGUCAACCCAUUUUCUGGUCCCCCUUCUGUCUCUCUUAGAAG